Molecule: long non-coding RNA, 587 nt
Filed under: Melopsittacus undulatus (budgerigar)
Lineage: Eukaryota; Metazoa; Chordata; Aves; Psittaciformes; Psittaculidae
Description: lncRNA (ENSMUNG00000021636.1)
Source: RNAcentral
GAGGGACUGGAGAAAGCAGCUACACGGUCCAGCCCCAGCAUCCAGGAGGCUCACUCUGGUUGCCUAUUAAACACUUUCAUGCAUUUUCCCCUCUCCCUGUAGCGAAACUCCUGAGGCACACAAGAGAGCCAAGUUGUUUCGUCUGUCCCAGGCAAGCCCAGAUGUGGAUGCAAUACCACCCAGAAGUAUUCUGAUCCAGUUUCACUGCUGAUCAGCAAGGCCUGAGGAGGAACCUGGUCACAUUUCACUCCAGUCUUUCGAGAGACCUCUGCACUCGUGUGCCCUACUCCUUCUCCGCCACCAGAUCACAUAAAGACACACUCUCCUUUCCUGGGGAGGAUGAAAGCUGGGAUGGCUGAAGGGAUGUGUCAGAUAUAAACACACUGCCUACAACUCCUAGCAGCAGCAGCAGCGGCUUACAGAUUUAAAAGUCUGAAGGAGCCUGACCCUUUGAUGGGGCUUCAUUCAUGUGAAGAGCUAAUUGCAUGGGGAAGGGUCUGCAGGCUGCAAUAGGUAAACUUCAGAGCAAGCUGACUAAGCAGACUGAGGAAAUGGCCCUAGGAUAUUUUUCAGGAGUUAAAGCCAGC